GGGAGUGCGCUAACGAUGGAGAGUUAGGAUAGUCUGUAAAACUAUUGCCCCGGCUGAGCAGGUUCAAAUCCCGCCACUCCCA
Molecule: transfer RNA, 82 nt
Filed under: Bacteroidota bacterium
Lineage: Bacteria; Pseudomonadati; Bacteroidota
Description: Bacteroidetes bacterium (activated sludge metagenome) tRNA-Tyr
Rfam family: tRNA
About the family: Transfer RNA (tRNA) molecules are approximately 80 nucleotides in length.
Source: RNAcentral